GCCUACGGGGCGCAGCAGUGGGGAAUAUUGCACAAUGGGGGAAACCCUGAUGCAGCGACGCCGCGUGAGUGAAGAAGUAUCUCGGUAUGUAAAGCUCUAUCAGCAGGAAAGAUAAUGACGGUACCUGACUAAGAAGCCCCGGCUAACUACGUGCCAGCAGCCGCGGUAAUACGUAGGGGGCAAGCGUUAUCCGGAUUUACUGGGUGUAAAGGGAGCGUAGACGGCAGCGCAAGUCUGGAGUGAAAUGCCGGGGCUCAACCCUGGGACUGCUUUGGAAACUGUAUUUCUAGAGUGUCGGAGAGGCA
This 305-nucleotide ribosomal RNA is filed under the name uncultured bacterium. Its description in RNAcentral is "bacterial SSU rRNA". It matches the Rfam family "Bacterial small subunit ribosomal RNA", at positions 337 to 659 of the family's 1533-position model. The record is from RNAcentral.